This 468-nucleotide ribosomal RNA is filed under the name uncultured bacterium. RNAcentral's name for it is "partial 16S ribosomal RNA". It matches the Rfam family "Bacterial small subunit ribosomal RNA", at positions 28 to 507 of the family's 1533-position model. The record is from RNAcentral.
GACGAACGCUGGCGGCGUGCUUAACACAUGCAAGUCGAACGGAAAGGCCCUGCUUUUGUGGGGUGCUCGAGUGGCGAACGGGUGAGUAACACGUGAGUAACCUGCCCUUGACUUUGGGAUAACUUCAGGAAACUGGGGCUAAUACCGGAUAGGAGCUCCUGCUGCAUGGUGGGGGUUGGAAAGUUUCGGCGGUUGGGGAUGGACUCGCGGCUUAUCAGCUUGUUGGUGGGGUAGUGGCUUACCAAGGCUUUGACGGGUAGCCGGCCUGAGAGGGUGACCGGCCACAUUGGGACUGAGAUACGGCCCAGACUCCUACGGGAGGCAGCAGUGGGGAAUAUUGAACAAUGGGCGGAAGCCUGAUGCAGCAACGCCGCGUGCUGGAUGACGGCCUUCGGGUUGUAAACCGCUUUCGCCUGUGACGAAGCGUGAGUGACGGUAAUGGGUAAAGAAGCACCGGCUAACUACGUG